CACCAUAGUCAUCCACACCCAUGCC
This 25-nucleotide non-coding RNA is filed under the name Arabidopsis thaliana (thale cress). Lineage: Eukaryota; Viridiplantae; Streptophyta; Magnoliopsida; Brassicales; Brassicaceae. The record is from RNAcentral.